UACGGGGGGGGCAAGCGUUGUUCGGAAUUACUGGGCGUAAAGGGCUCGUAGGCGGCCAACUAAGUCGGAUGUGAAAUCCCCAAGCUUAACUUGGGAACUGCAUCCGAUACUGGAUGGCUUGAAUCCGGGAGAGGGAUGCAGAAUUCCAGGUGUAGCGGUGAAAUGCGUAGAUAUCUGGAGGAACACCGGUGGCGAAGGCGGCAUCCUGGACCGGCAUUGACGCUGAGGAGCGAAAGCCAGGGGAGCAAACGGG
Molecule: ribosomal RNA, 253 nt
Filed under: uncultured bacterium
Lineage: Bacteria
Description: partial 16S ribosomal RNA
Rfam family: Bacterial small subunit ribosomal RNA
Source: RNAcentral